Paramisgurnus dabryanus is the source of this 842-nucleotide long non-coding RNA. RefSeq lists it as uncharacterized. The record is from RefSeq and is a predicted model, not a curated record. Lineage: Eukaryota; Metazoa; Chordata; Actinopteri; Cypriniformes; Cobitidae.
UACCGGUAAAAUUUGUUCUCAUGAUCAAACUCAAGAAACUCUAAGUACAGAUGAUUUGUUUAAAGUUAUAUGUAUUUUACUGUUGUAUUUACAUGAAGCUUUCUUAGAUUUUGAAACGAAGUAAACACAUAAUGUGUGUUGCUAAUGUUGGGCCAUGUAAUAUGUAAUACAUUUACGUUUUAAUGAAUAGUCUAACGAUUUAUAGUCGUUGUACUCUAUUGUUAUAAUAUGUCUUUUUGACUGAAUACAUGUUUGUUUUAUUUGUCUAUAUCCUAGAUUUGCAGCUGGACACAUCCUUCUACACUGUAUGCAAACAUGCAACAUCAUUACACACAGAACAAGGAGUCAGAUUGGCAUAUGAGGAGCAAAGGUUGUACCUUGCAGCCAUCCAUUACAAUGUCACCAAGCCAUAACAAAAGCAGGAGAGGGAAAGUACAAGGCUAUGUUCCCAAAACACACAAGUGACAUACCUUAUGUGGAGGAUGUGAUCAGGCUUGUGUUUGAUGAGGUAUUUGAAGAUAAGCUGAAGGAAACCCCGAUUCCAAUGGACCUGGCAUCACAGUUUGAGAGACCUUCAAAGGAGGACGUGAUUGCAUGCCAUCUUCAGUGCAGGGGUCGUCGAAAGCCAAAAUUGUGACCGAUCUGAUCAGGAAGCUCCAAGCAUAUCUGGAGAACAACACACGACAGGAUGAUAACCUUAUAGUGUCGUCUUAAAUAGCACCAGCUGACAAAGCUUUGAUAUGCCAUUUAUCUGAAUAGAUAGCUGUAAGAAAUGAAUUGAACAAUUUUUUAAACAAGAGCACAAUAUGGUUACUAAAGUAUGUUUAUUUGUAUAUUGUUUA